This 31-nucleotide transfer RNA is filed under the name Aegilops searsii. RNAcentral's name for it is "partial tRNA-Leu". The record is from RNAcentral. Lineage: Eukaryota; Viridiplantae; Streptophyta; Magnoliopsida; Poales; Poaceae.
AAGCAUCUCGGUUCGAAUCCGAGUGGCGGCA